Molecule: small RNA, 79 nt
Filed under: Marmota monax (woodchuck)
Lineage: Eukaryota; Metazoa; Chordata; Mammalia; Rodentia; Sciuridae
Source: RNAcentral
GCUGGGUGUGAUGGUGCAUGCCUGUAAUCCCAGCCACUCAGGAGGCUGAGGCAGGAGGAUGGCAAGUUUCCGGCCACUU